AAUAAGAUAAGGAUGCAAUUAAUAGUGACAUGUUUGACAAAGAUCGAAUUUGAGACGGAACCGAUCCUCUCCCAUUAAAAACAUUAUUCAAUCUAACGUGAAACAAACACACAAUCUUCUGAGAUGGCCGAAGCAGGAGACAAUGACGAGAGAAAGUUACCGAUAGAACUACCACCGAAAGACUCGGAAAGGUUGCGAGAGGAAAACCAUGAAAAAAGCUAGGAGCGGGACCAAGCCCGCACUGAGUUAAAGAAGUCGUAGCGACACAAACAAUUCAGCACGUCAUACCUACACUCGGAGCGGACACAACAGCUCGCGUCGAAGCUCUCAGAGAUCUACCGGCCUGUAGAUUUGGUGAAUAUAUACUUGUUGCAUCAAGUUGUGCAAGCAUUCAACAUGAUGAAGUUAGCGGGCAAGUAUAUAUUCAUGCACCAAAUGGUAGGCCGUAGGCGGGGGAAUUAAUGGGAGUUCGGUUUUAAUUUGUUGAAAAGAUAAUGGAUGGAGGGCAAAUAAAAACUGGGGGACCAAAGAACAACUAUGAUUAAUUUUGGACUCAUUAAUUUUUUUUCUUUUUCUUUCAAUCA
RNAcentral lists this long non-coding RNA (584 nucleotides) under Zostera marina. RNAcentral's name for it is "long non-coding RNA (ZMAR_LNC000925)". Lineage: Eukaryota; Viridiplantae; Streptophyta; Magnoliopsida; Alismatales; Zosteraceae. The record is from RNAcentral.